Molecule: long non-coding RNA, 816 nt
Organism: Tupaia belangeri chinensis (Chinese tree shrew)
Lineage: Eukaryota; Metazoa; Chordata; Mammalia; Scandentia; Tupaiidae
Exons: 3
Source: RefSeq, a predicted model, not a curated record
UUUCAAGGAAGAGGACCCGUCAACAGAGGGCUUAAAGUCCCCUCCGGACGCCUGUGUGGAGUUUCGGUGCUGUCUAAAAUUCUAUUUACAAAGAGCUCUCGAAAUGACUUCAUAAUGGGAGACCAAGACGAAAAGAGUUUAGAAGUGAAUGAUGUAAAGCACAUGGGUUCAGAGGCCAAGCAAACUGCACACCCUCGCCCUGAAGCCGCCGGCUUCAUGAAAGGAGCCUUUCUGCGGCCCCGGGGCAACCCCGGCCCAGGGAGCCAGCAUCCCAGAGUUUUCUAAACAUUUCAGGUAGCUCCUGUUCGGCGUCUCCUUACUCGGCACCCCUUUGUCUCACUUUCUGCAGCCCACGGAGAAGACGGCCGUCUACACCUCGACACAGAGGAAAACCCACUCUCGUUCAUGCUCACCUUUGACGUGGUGUUUCCGGUAUUGUUAUGUCAAUGUGUUCCUGGCUUCAGCGUAGAACGGAGACGUUACAGUCACCCCUGAUCCCGGGCCGUGCGCUCGACCCUCCUCCGGCACUGAGCUGCACUGCGCACUGGAAACCCAGCAGGCGUGGCUCUGUGUCCAUUACCGUGGUGACGGCCGGCUGUUCUAACAGGAGGGCAGUCAUCACGCACACGGGUGACCCUUACUGCCGCCGCCUCUAGAACCGUGGAGAACUAGACAUGGCCGUUACGUAGUCCUCGGGCGUCUGCGGCCUGCCCUGGUCCCCACAGCGUAGACCGACAGGCUGGGUUUAAGGAUGUCAAACUACAACUUUUCCCUUUUUUCUAGAAACAUUCCAAGUAUUAUUAAACACGGCGUCUG